This is a long non-coding RNA of Odocoileus virginianus texanus, 382 nucleotides long. RefSeq lists it as uncharacterized. The record is from RefSeq and is a predicted model, not a curated record. NCBI's taxonomy places the organism in Eukaryota, Metazoa, Chordata, Mammalia, Artiodactyla, Cervidae.
GAGGGCCUGAGCAUGCACACAGAGCAGUUCAACAGGCUGGAGAAAUGCAGUUUGAUGGCCGCUUGCUUCCAGCCGCUGUCCUCUGUUCUCAGAAGCAGUAAAAGCCUGGAGAACCUGAACCUUUUAGGAAACGACCUGGGGCUGGAUGGAGUCAGCAGGCUGUGGACGCCCUUGAGAAAGUCAGCGUGCAAGCUUCAGAAACUCGGACUCCAGCCUCCAUGACCUGCCCUGAAUUCCAAAGGGCAGCUUCAAGCAGUUGCUUCUCAUGGAAGGAGCAGCCGAGAAAUCACCUGAGACAAAAUUAAAGGAACCAGUCAGUCCAGUCGCUCAGUCGUGUCCUACUCUUUGUGAUCCCAUGGACUGCAGCAUGCCAGGCCUCCAU